This 55-nucleotide transfer RNA is filed under the name Brookesia therezieni. RNAcentral's name for it is "tRNA-Cys". The record is from RNAcentral. Lineage: Eukaryota; Metazoa; Chordata; Lepidosauria; Squamata; Chamaeleonidae.
AAGUCUGGGGUAUUGUAUUUACCUUAUUCAAAUUUGCACUUUGAUAUACCAGACC